RNAcentral lists this transfer RNA (68 nucleotides) under Zootermopsis nevadensis. It matches the Rfam family "tRNA". Rfam says of the family: Transfer RNA (tRNA) molecules are approximately 80 nucleotides in length. Their secondary structure includes four short double-helical elements and three loops (D, anti-codon, and T loops). The record is from Rfam by way of RNAcentral. Lineage: Eukaryota; Metazoa; Arthropoda; Insecta; Blattodea; Termopsidae.
CACGGUGGUCUAGCGGUUAGAACGCUGGGCUUGUAAUCCUGGGGUCUCGGGUUCGAUUCCCGGCGGUG